GAGCCGGAGCCCGGCUCGUGGGAGAGACUGAAAGAGAGGCCCAAGGCUCCAACUUGUAUUGGCUCUGAAACCGCUGCUGGCUCCCUACCCCCCCCGAACCCCCAACCAACAUCACUCGCCGUGUCAGCUCGGACCGGGCCCGUCACCCUCACCGUCAGAGUCCAAACGACAAAAUGCAUUUUUCUUUAAAAAAAACACAAAAUUAACCCACGGAACAAAACCGACCGGUAAUUCGCAGGGAGGAGAGGAGAGUGGGGUGAGGGUCGAGAGUUGUGGACUCACGGGCAGCCUGGGGAGAAUCUCGGCCGAGCAGCGGUGACAGAAAUAGCGAGAGAGUGAGGAAGCCUCCGCCAUAUUCACGUAAAGCCGCCACAGUGACGUACAAUACGGGUGCCCCGGCGUAUCCAACAUAUGACCUCACACGCCAAUUGUGACGCACUUGGAUCUGUCAAUCACCGGAGAGCGGAGGGUCUGUUGUUAUUCGCGACCCACUCGUGUGUCUUAACUCUGGAGUCAUCUAGACUGGAAACUUUAGCUUGCUCUCUCUCCAUAGAUGCUGUCUGACCCAUUGUGAUCUCCAGCAUAUUUUGUCCUUAAUCUCUCCCCUUGCCUGAGGUGUAGUGAUCACCAACGGUUGUCUCUCUGUAAUGAGAGAAAAGCCCUAUGGCCUGUAAUUCUUCCCCACCCCUUUUAACUACCUGCCGAAGGAGUCUGUAAGGAGCUGGCUUGUGACUGGGAACCACAUGGCAGGAGCUGAACGCGCAGGUUGUGUCCUGCAGCAACAGUGGAUCAAGUCUAGACUGGAGCGAAGGCAGUGGAUCAAGAGUGGGCUGGUGAGGCAGCCCAGAGCAGGGUGAUAAGGCAACAGUGGCAAGAUCGGGCCAGUCGGACAACUGGGAGCGGGACGCUGGCAGAAGCAUGGCGACGGUUGGAAAGCCCAGAACGGGCUUUGGCAAGGACUGUUAAACUCUCUUGUUAUCUUUUUUUUAAAAAUCUUAUUCUAACUUAAUGUGAAUGGCACCAUGUAUGUAUAGUGACGCUACGCACUUUUCACUGUAUUUUUGCAUUGAAUACAUGUGACAAUAAAUGAUUCAAUUCAAUAAACUAUUCAAUUCAUUUGU
Molecule: long non-coding RNA, 1121 nt
Organism: Stegostoma tigrinum
Lineage: Eukaryota; Metazoa; Chordata; Chondrichthyes; Orectolobiformes; Stegostomatidae
Exons: 3
Source: RefSeq, a predicted model, not a curated record